Monodelphis domestica (gray short-tailed opossum) is the source of this 4507-nucleotide long non-coding RNA. RefSeq lists it as uncharacterized. NCBI's taxonomy places the organism in Eukaryota, Metazoa, Chordata, Mammalia, Didelphimorphia, Didelphidae. The record is from RefSeq and is a predicted model, not a curated record.
CCACGUGCUUAGGGCCCACUCCUAGCACUCUCGUGGCUUUCAACUCUUUUAUUUCACACAGCGAAUGGGAGAACGCGUUCGAGGACACGAGGCUAAUAGUAGGCGGGUGCCGGAAGUCCAGGAAGGUUGCCGAUCCUCUGGCCAAGGACGGUAAGUCCUCCUCUGCUUGAGGUGGGUCUCCCCUCUGAACCCUGCUCGAUUCCUAAUGUCGUAGCUUGAUGGGGGAGAAAUGGAAGUCUCAAGAGCUUAAUUGCCUGAGACGGAAUCAGGAUGAGGGAAGCACACGAUCGGUCAGAGAGGGAUUCUUAAACUAUCUCUGUCAGGGAGGUGCAGUUUCCCUCCCCCACCUGGGUCUGCUAGUCGGAGGCCUCCUCUCUCGGACCUGGAUCUCCGGAGGUUAAGAAACACCUGAGGAGUGGUCUGAGGGGGAGGGGAAGAAAAAGGACAUUUGACCCAGGGAAAAACCCUCUCUAGGGGCGAUUGAGAACUUGAAAAAUCUCAGUCUGAAACAAACAGUUGCUAGAGCCUAGUGAAUUUCAAAAGGAGCAACUGGGAAAAGAAAAAGCAGGAGUUAAAAUUUCAUCCGGAAAGCAAAGUCAAAUUUACCUGCUAUUCAUUAGCAAAAGCUGGAAAGCCUAGUGAAGACACAAGGCAGAAACUGCUGCAGAAUGCUAAGGAGUUCUUUCUUAAGCACUUCUUAUUUCAAAAGUUCUGCAAGCUAAUCUUUACAAGAAACUCCUGGUGCCUUUUCAGGAGAGGUGGGACUCAGAUGCAUUUGAAAGGCCUAUCAGGAAGUGGUUGCUUUAAUCUCAAAGCAGGGCAUUUAAAAGAUCAGAAUUACUUGGAAAAAACGGAUAAAAAACAAAAAAUUUUUUUUUUCUAAUAAAACCGUAGGUCUCAGCACAAUUAAGGAAUCAAGGUAAUAAUCCUGAAUUAGGUUAAAUUCGGAACAGCCUAAGUUGUAAAAAGAUAUUGCCAUUCUGUAACCAAAGGCAGAAGAUUUUUUUAAAAAAAAGCAAGUCCUAGGGACUCUUGUUUGAGGUCCAGCCAGGUAAAGGCAGGCUUUACCUGGGCGAUUGCAAAUACAGUAAAGUAAGAUUUGGGAAUUUGAAUUUUAAUUUAGUUUUAAUUUACGUUGGAUAUAGGCAAAAUUAUAAAGGAAUGUCUGCUUAUAUUUUUUUAUAAAGGAAGUUAAAAAAGGAGAAUUAAAUAUCUUUCUCUGACUUUUGUUAUAUGCCACAGAAUAUCAGGACUAGAAAUGUUUUAUCUGUAGAGACAUUUUGGUAUAUAUCUCAAGGUAAUUAAAGUGCAAACAGAAAACUUUUAAGGUUUGGGCUUAGAUCUGAAGCAGCUUGAAAUGUUUUUUCUCUACUGGCCACGUGGCUUGAGCCACGUGGAAGAUAGCAUCAGAGCAACUGAGGUUGCAAGUUUUAUCACUAAGGCUGUAAUUGGCUAGAAGAAAAAAAUUAAUAUUAAGAUAUAAUAAGCAUGAGUUGGAAUAUGAUUUAAAGGAAUUUCUAAGGCUUUCUAAUUUUAACUAUGGAGGAAUUAUUAACACUUUUCUAAGCAGGACAUAAAGCAACAGGAUGCAAACAGCCUGUAUGCAGUUCAGAAACUUUUUUACUGGGCAUAUUACUAUACCUGUAUCCAGAAAGCAAAUGAUUUAUAACUAGAAUAGCUUUUACUAUGGAAAAUUAAGACACAUGCUCAGCAGAGUAAAAGCAUGGUUAGAAGGAUUCAAUCUGUUUACCAGUGGUUAAUUAUUAAGGUUAUCAAGGAAUUGGUUACUCAGUACAGUGAUUUAUUAAGGAUUUGAAAGAGGCAAUACUAUCAUGUAUUAAAAUUGCAGAUAUUGAAGCUGAUCAUGAUAUUGAAAAGAGACCUAUGAUAAUAAGGCAAAUUCAAAGGUGACUGGCAUAAUUUGAUUUACUUCUGCAGUGAAGAUUUGCAGAAUUAGCAGAUGGAAGUAAUGAUUUUAUUCACAGUAUUAAGAUCUUUUCAGUUAUGAAGCUAAGGGCAGUAGUUCAGAAAUAACAACUUCUAUGCAAUUGUUUGAUAAUUCUAUGCAUAUUUGUACAGCAUAAGACAAUGCUAUAAUUUUAAUAACUGCACAAGGUGGAAAUUUUUUCAAAAAGCAAAAAUUGUGUGCAGGCAGACAAAGACUUAAGAUCCCAGCACACAUGGGUCAAUUCAUAAGUGAUUUAUAGAAUGAUAUUUUUAUGAUUAUGGAUUUGAAAAAGCAAAUAUUUAAGCAUCUAUACAUGCUGCUUUGCAAAGUCUAUUGUACAUCUAUAUCCUGAACAAGCAGGUGAUAUCGCUUAUCAAUGCAAACUGUUGUGGAUUAAUUUCACCCCUGAUAGACAUCCACUGUAUAUUUUGGAGCAAAAGGUACAUUUCAGCAUGCUCCUGGCACAAAGGUUGAACUGUGAAAAGUGAUGGGAGAUACUUACUCUCCUGGUUUAUGGGUUCAAGCUCAAAUGAAGAAGUGAGCAAAGUGAUUGCAGAUUUUAUAAAUAUCUGUGCACAACUGUCUAUUCCAAACAGCUUGGAAUAGCAGGGCUUUUAACAGCAAUGCAAAGGCUAAAUGGCAUAGCUCAUGGCUUACAUGCAAGCUAUGGUACAAAGAGCUCAAAGGAAUUCAUGAGCCCCAAGGUUCCAAAACUGAAGGUAUAGAUGUUCUGUCACUUUCUAACUUUCUAAGACCCAAUGAGGCUUUCAUUUGGGGUCGAGGUCUUGUUUAUAUGUUCACAGAUAAUGAAAACAUCUGGUCACCCACGUCAUGCUUCAUGCCAGCUGAUACAGACCAGGAAGAGAAGCAGACGGAAGGUGAUGGCAUCAGCUAUCUGCAUGCCAGCCACAAUCCAGACUCGCUGGAGGGACACUUCUUUGGUGACUAAUAUCACUCUAGAACAAUGACAUUACACUAUUAGAGACAUUGGCUAUUAGGCCACUGACGGACACUUGUCAUGCUGACAUCCAUUGAGAUGGGGUACCCAGAGCAACAUCAAGUAUGCUAACUCAGAAGGACUAAAUCACACUCGUGUCUGUACAAGACACCAGAUAUGUCCCACACUCCAAAGGCUUUGCUAUGGGAUUGAGAUGAAAUAGCUACAAAUUGUCUAGCUGCUAAUGUAUACCUUGUAUUUUGUAUAUGAUACUGUCAAAGGGAAUUUUGUAUGCAUUAUGAAUUGUAUGCAUUGUAAAUCCACCACUUGUAUUGUAAGAAAUGCUGUUAACAAGGGUAUAGACCUUGGUAGGACUCUCCAAAGAGUAGGAGAUAGAAAACUCUCAUCCAUAGGAUAGAUCUGAUACCUCUGACAUCAAAAAUGAGGUGCUAAGCAGAAAAUGCUGCUCACUCAUGGUUAAUGGACAGAUGACACUGAUGUUACUCUCAAGAAAGGAUGAGAGAUCAGGGAAAAGACACUAGGAAAUCUUUAAUCAGGAACCUGAGUUAUUGUAAGAGAUCAUUGACAUCCAGGCAAAGAUUAUGUUCCUGACAUUACAUUAAGGGCUGACUCUUUGUGGGUAAUAUCUUAAUAGGAAAAAUGUCUUGCUCUCCUCCAACAAUCCCAGAAUUCAGACGGCCGCUGGAUUCGGGAUCUAUUGGCUUCCCUUUCAUAUACUGGAAGACGUUCUGGUAUAUGGAAGUAAGACCUCAUGAAAAACUGAGGGCUCUAGGUUUGACAAUUUCUGUGGACGCGCAGUCAUUGUCUCUCCUAGGUGGAAAAAAUUAUUAUUGCACAAAAACAUGGAGCAAGGGCAAGGUAUAAUCUAAGUUUUACUGUUUUGGAGUAUGGAUUAAAAACAUGACACAAUAGGCACAGAUAAGCUUGCAGAAAAAGCACAUUGAAUAUUAUACCCUGACAACUAGGAAUGAAAAAGCUAUGUCAAAUGCUGUAGGUACGAGAAACUGUAGAAAUUGUUUCUACAUGGGAAACAACUUAAGCUUCUAUUUACCCAAACAUUGGUUUGGUGGAAUGAAUUUUGCAAAUAUUGGUAAUGGUAUAGGCUUGGUUAUUAUAUUGAUGGGUUUAUUUAUACAAGCAGAGAAUUAAAAUAAGGAAGACAUUAGGAAUAUGCAGUCAGAACUUGAAAUAUUACUUCAUUAUCACCAUCAUGGUUAUUUAAGUUACAAUUGAGAAUGUAAAGUGUAUGGGAAUAUUGGUAUUUGUUAAAAAUUGCACUGUGAUUGAUGUAUUGAUGUUUUUGCAAAGCCUGUAAUGGUGCAAAAUUAUGUUCAUAUACAAGGCGAAUUUUGAUCUAUUUAGAUCUGGAAUUAGAAAUCAUUGGGAACAUAAGUUCUGAUAUUUCACAUUGGCUCAGUUUCAAAGAUACCACAUAGACUGUGAGCCAAGAGCCAAGAGAAUCUUGUAUUAAUUUUGGGAUCAGGUUCCCAGGAUCAAUUUUCUGAGAUCAUUUGACAUGUGAUAACAUGAUCCUCCAGAAAUGUUUAGAGAGGAUGUUUUUCUUUGAAGGGAUCUCUCCCAACACACAAACAAAAAGAAAA